CCGAGUGAAGGCCUCCGGGCCCGACCUCCAACCCUUUUGAAGUUACCAACUCUGUUGCCUCGGGGGCGAACCGGUCCUUCGCGUCCGGCGCCCCCGGUGGACCACACCACUCUGCGUAACUGCGUCGGAGUUCGAGGGGAAUUUGAAUCA
Molecule: unclassified non-coding RNA, 150 nt
Filed under: uncultured Capnodiales
Lineage: Eukaryota; Fungi; Ascomycota; Dothideomycetes; Capnodiales
Description: sequence contains ITS1
Source: RNAcentral